AAACACUCACUUCCUGGGACUCAAAGAAAGUGCAGCUGAAUUCGAUGGCUUUUAGCUGGGGACUGGCUAGAUCAGUGGAAAUCACAACCAAGUUCUCCCACUGCCUUUCUAUCCAACAGCACUGUGGAUCACCCGCAGACAAGGAUGGAAUCACCAAAAAGUAUAAUCAUUAGGUCACUAGAUGUGCACGUUGGCAAUUUUCGAAAAUAUUGCCAGAGAGAUUGAAAUAAUUCACCACUGCCCCUCCUCCAGCUUCUCCUGGGCAUGCCACAUACACUGUGGGAAGGGGAAAGGCUGACCUAGAACACCUUCAAGUGGAUGCUACAGAACCCACCAGGGCAGAGCCUCAGCUCUCAGCCUCCCGGAAUGAACCAUGAACCCAAAGCAAAGAGCAGAACUCCUUUGACACCUCCAGCUUCACAGACAAAGAUGAAUCUCCUAAGGCAUUUCUGAAACAUGCAGUUCUGAAGUCUGGCCAGCCACACCAAAGAGCUUUUCGCAAGAAGGCACAGGCCAGGUAGAGGCAGCUGUGCAGUGGGAGGACUGUGAUGUUUUGGACUAGAAAAUAAGACGCAAAUGAGGCCAAAAAAACACAGGCACUGCAUAAAGGUGUCUUCUCCCCACUUUAUAAGCCUUAUGUGUGAUAAUAUUCAAUGCCACAGCAAGGCAAGCAAAUAGGUCCUUGGAGGGAGGGAUAGCUGGAUUUUAAUCCUGGCUCUACACUAAGGUCUUGGACUACUUACUGCAGGUCUCUGAGCUUCAUAGUUUUAUGUAUAAAAUAGGAUGAAGACCAUCCCCAAAUCCACUUCGAUGGUGAGA
RNAcentral lists this long non-coding RNA (819 nucleotides) under Homo sapiens (human). Its description in RNAcentral is "long independently transcribed non-coding RNA 390 (LINC00390)". The record is from RNAcentral. Lineage: Eukaryota; Metazoa; Chordata; Mammalia; Primates; Hominidae.